AUUGAACGCUGGCGGCAUGCCUUACACAUGCAAGUCGAACGGCAGCACGGGUGCUUACACCUGGUGGCGAGUGGCGAACGGGUGAGUAAUACAUCGGAACGUACCUUAUCGUGGGGGAUAACGCAGCGAAAGUUGCGCUAAUACCGCAUACGCCCUGUGGGGGAAAGCGGGGGACCGUAAGGCCUCGCGCGAUUAGAGCGGCCGAUGUCUGAUUAGCUUGUUGGUGAGGUAAAAGCUCACCAAGGCGAGGAUCAGUAGCUGGUCUGAGAGGACGAUCAGCCACACUGGGACUGAGACACGGCCCAGACUCCUACGGGAGGCAGCAGUGGGGAAUUUUGGACAAUGGGGGCAACCCUGAUCCAGCAAUGCCGCGUGAGUGAAGAAGGCCUUCGGAUUGUAAAGCUCUUUUGUCAGGGAAGAAACAGCAGCUCUAACACAGUCUGCGAAUGACGGUACCUGAAGAAUAAGCACCGGCUAACUACGUGCCAGCCGCCGCCGUAA
RNAcentral lists this ribosomal RNA (501 nucleotides) under uncultured bacterium. RNAcentral's name for it is "partial 16S ribosomal RNA". It matches the Rfam family "Bacterial small subunit ribosomal RNA", at positions 30 to 523 of the family's 1533-position model. The record is from RNAcentral.